AAUCAACGCUGGCGGCGUGCCUCAGACAUGCAAGUCGAACGAGAACCUCCCUUCGGGGAGGGGACAGUGGCGCACGGGUGAGUAACACGUGGGUAAUUUACCUUCGGGUGGGGAACGAACAGCCGGAAACGGCUGCUAAUACCGCAUAAUGCAGCGGCUCCGAUUGGAGACAGUUGUUAAAGCGGGGGAGUCGCAAGACCUCGCGCCUGAAGAGAAGCCCGCGGCAGAUUAGCUAGUUGGUAGGGUAAUGGCCUACCAAGGCAACGAUCUNUAACCGGCCUGAGAGGGCGGUCGGUCACACUGACACUGACAUACGGGUCAGACUCCUAC
Molecule: ribosomal RNA, 330 nt
Filed under: uncultured bacterium
Lineage: Bacteria
Description: bacterial SSU rRNA
Rfam family: Bacterial small subunit ribosomal RNA
Source: RNAcentral